Molecule: long non-coding RNA, 539 nt
Filed under: Anser cygnoides (Swan goose)
Lineage: Eukaryota; Metazoa; Chordata; Aves; Anseriformes; Anatidae
Description: lncRNA (ENSACDG00005004999.1)
Source: RNAcentral
GUGUGCUGUUAGAGAUUAAAUUUUCCUCACCCUAUUGUAGCAGUCACUGCCAGCUUCAUUAAAGGAGUAUCUCCUAUCUUUGGCCUGCUGGGGAGUGGGAGGACUCAACUCCCACUGUGUCUGAUCUGGUUAGUUAGAAAUCCUGGUUCUUGCCUGGUCUCUGCUCAUUAUGCAAACAUGGACUUGGAGAGCAUUCAUCGAAACUGCUUUUUAUUCUCCUUGAAUGCAGAACUAAGCAUUGCAAGUGAGGCAACCACAGGUGCAUGGAAGAAGGAUAAUUGCUGAAAUGGUUAUACAGUGUGGAUCCUAUCUGAUGAAACACUUGCUACUGCAGUCAGGUUGGUUUCUUGGGGAACAAGUAAAAGUCGUCUUCUUUCCUUUCUUCCUCUGCCUCAUUCCCUCUGAGUUUUAGAGGAGGAAUUUAUAAAGAUCAAGAAGUGAAUAAUUUAUGGGAUAAAAGUAGCUAUGAGCAGCUUCAGGCUGGAUUCAGCUUCAGCACAAACCCCAGGUGCUGUUGUAUAACACUCAGUGUUGCAGUG